Molecule: ribosomal RNA, 253 nt
Filed under: uncultured bacterium
Lineage: Bacteria
Description: partial 16S ribosomal RNA
Rfam family: Bacterial small subunit ribosomal RNA
Source: RNAcentral
UACGAGGGGGGCGAGCGUUGUUCGGAAUUAUUGGGCGUAAAGGGUGCGUAGGCGGUUUUGUAGGUCUUAUGUGAAAUCUAUGGGCUCAACUCAUAGACUGCAUGAGAAACUGCAGGGCUUGAGUAUGGGAGAGGUGAGUGGAAUUCCUGGUGUAGCGGUGAAAUGCGUAGAUAUCAGGAGGAACACCUGUGGCGAAAGCGGCUCACUGGACCAUAACUGACGCUGAUGCACGAAAGCUAGGGGAGCAAACAGG